RNAcentral lists this long non-coding RNA (517 nucleotides) under Mus caroli (Ryukyu mouse). Its description in RNAcentral is "lncRNA (MGP_CAROLIEiJ_G0005736.1)". The record is from RNAcentral. Lineage: Eukaryota; Metazoa; Chordata; Mammalia; Rodentia; Muridae.
AAAACCCAGCUUCCUGUCUAUGUCGUCAUUAUGGAUCCAUAACAGCGUCACCACAUGCAUUGUUUAUCCCUGAGUUUGAGGUUCGAGGUGAGCUGGGGGAGACUUGGGAGAGGGUUGAGGUUGAAAGCAUGGAGUGAGGGUUGGGGAUGGAGAUAAAGUUAUGUCACGAACACUGAACUAAAUUCAGUUCAGGAGAGAUUAUUAGAUUCCAGGAAAAUAGGUAAUUCGGUCCAAAGUUCCUCUGCUACUGAAGGAAAUAAGUGGAUCUCAGAUGCCUCCAGCGGGAAGAGAGCUAGCUUGUCAAAGGAGGGAACGAGGUGCAUUUCACUGUCAAGGGUCAGGUGUCGGAAUCUCCUCCCAGUGGAUGGAACUACAGACACUCUCGACGGCAAAAAUGGACACACACUGCCUUGUUAAAGACGGGACGCAAAUACUCCUUGACAUCUUUUCAAGACGGGCAAAGCUCUGGAGCGCUUCUGAACCGCAUCUGCUUUCCAUUCUGCCCGCAUCUUUGCUG